This 5338-nucleotide long non-coding RNA is filed under the name Medicago truncatula (barrel medic). Its description in RNAcentral is "long non-coding RNA (MTRU_LNC008879)". The record is from RNAcentral. Lineage: Eukaryota; Viridiplantae; Streptophyta; Magnoliopsida; Fabales; Fabaceae.
UUCUUUGUCUUAGAAGGAAUAUUAUUUAGUCUACCAUUUUGCACUCAGCUACUUUACAUUUCAUGUGAAUAUCAAUUGAGUUUUUUGUUCAACGAAAAAGGGGAUAAGGCUAGUCUGGAUGUUAGCUAACUCCUAACAAAAAUAUCUAUUUGCUUUUCUUCUUUUCAUAAUUUUUUGUAUUUCCAGUUCUGUCAAUUCAGUCUAUAUAACCUUUACCUUGAUUCUUGGAGAGCCUUCUAUAUGAUUUAUAUGAUUUAGCAUAUAUGCUCAUUUGGUUCUUGUUUACAUAAUUAUGGGUCUUUUAAUUGCGCUUGUUUUGUUCAGGUACAAAGGCAUUCUCUUGCAGCUGGUAAGUGAGGUUCUUUAUACAACAUUUUUCAUAUAUAUAUAUAUAUAUAUAUAUAUUGUGCUCAUGAUUUUCGGAUCUUUAUUCUUGGGAAGGGAAAAAAUGAGUAAAAACCCUUAAGAAUUUGGAUUCGGGGGUUGGUUACGCGAAGGGAAGGUGCUAGCACCCUAAGCGUCUGUUGACAUAUAUAUAUACGAGUUAGAAUCCAUUGACACCAGGUGCAAGUCAAAUGACUUAUACCAAAUCUCAACAGCUAAUUUUAAUUGAUCGCACGUUCAAAUUAUAUCAACAAAAGAAACUAAUAAAACACAUUGCAGUGUAUCCGUGAACCGAAUAUUAUGAAACAUCAAUAAUCUCGCAAACCUUGAUUCUGCAUUGUAGGUUCUACGCAACUAAUUGUUUCAAUCAAGACUUAGGCUAACACCCCUUUAAGUCAUUGUUCUGAGAUUUAGAUUUUGAACCUUCCAUCAUUGACCAAGAAAUUAGAAAAUAACAGUACAGAUUCGUGAGUGAUCUCUAAUUGGCCAUACAACAAUAUAUCAAUUCACAGUUUGGAGACAAUUUUUAAAAUGGUAUGCAAUAUAAGCUUAUUUUUAUUACUGUAUCAUUUAAUUUAAUAAAAGUAAUUUGAAACAAAAUAAUGUUUUUUUUUUUAUUGUAGUUUGGAUGCAAUUUAGUGACAUUAUUCUGAAUAAAUAUGUUUGUGGUUUGCCAGGUCAAUGCAUUGUUAUAUGCUGGGGCUGGAGUUCAAAACCCCAGACACCCCCUCUUAUUCACUAUAAAAAGUGAAUUUUAGCAACUAGGCUAGUUGACAAAAAAAAAAUGUUUGUGGUUUCUCUAAGUAUGUUAAUUUUUUGACGGAAUCAACUUUUAUAUUUUAGUCUCUUUAAAAACUUUCUUCAAAUUUUGGUCUCUAAAUUUUAUGUUACCAAUUUUAGUUUUUCUUUUUCACAAAAGUUCACAUUGCAUAUUUCAAGUGAUAUUUUUCUAUGACGUGUCAUUGAAAAACCUUAAAAUAUCAUUAAUAAUUUUAACUAUUUUCAUAAAAUCUUUAUUAAUAUAUGAAUGACUUUAAAUUAUAUAUUAAAUUGUUAAAUUAAAGAUUAAAUAGUGUUAAGCAAGGUAAUCAAAACCGGACCGGACGUUAAACCGAUGUAGGCAUGGGUUUAAGGUUUUGGGGUUCAACCGGGGUUGAACCGAGGUUCAACCGGAAUUAAUUAAAUAAUAUUUUUUUUAUUAUAACAUUCUAGUAAAAAUAUAAUUUUUUUAUUACAUAUAUCAAAACUCAAAAAAAAAAAAUAUAUAUGAAUACUCACCUAUCGAGCCCAAAGUCAUUAUUAUUUUUUAACAUAUAAUAUAUAUUUCUUUUUAUUUUUUAACAUAUAAUAUAUAUUUCUUUUUAAAUGACAUUUUUCAUGGGCUUCGUUUAUAAGCCCAACCCAUCACUAACCCUAAAUUAUCACAUUCAAUAUUGAUUUCUUGAUGAGGACAAUCAGCCGCCCCUUUCCCUUUUCCAAUCUCUCACUCUCAGAUUCCAAUUGAUUCACUAUUCUUCUCCAAUUUUCUUUUUUCUGAUCUUACAUCUUCACUUGUACUUCCAUGGAAACAUCACCAUAAUGAAUUGCUUUGCUUGCUUUCCCUUCUUUACUAAUCUUUCUUCUGAAAUCUUGUUUCUUACUGAUCAUUAUCAAACCAAUAUAUUUUCCUGUCUUGAAUCUUGUAGCAAUUGAUAAUUGUACAAAUCUUGAAACAAUUUGUGUGAAUGAGAACAUAUCAAUAAGAUUCCCGUCCUUCCGAGAAAAAACGAAACCACAACCGGUCAGACUUGCAAAACCGCCUGAACCGGCGGUUUCCCGGUUUAUUCCGGUUUUUGGCCGGUUUUUCGGUUGUUUUCCCGGUUCUAUGAACCAGCGGUUUUUAGGGUCACUCGGACCGGUCAGUGUUCCGGUUCCCGGUUCAACCGAUUGAACCGGCCGGUCCGGUCCGGUUUUCACUACCGUGGUGUUAAGUCAUUAAAGUAAUGACAUUGAGUUCGUUUGUUAUAACUUUUUUAAGAAAAAAAUCACUUAUUUUAAAAAAAUAAUCAUUUUUAAGAGUUUUGCAUCCAUUUGUUAGAACUUUUUAAAAAAAUCAGAAUCUAGAAAAAAUCUAAAAACAACUUCAAAUGUGAAGCUGGUAAGAGCAGCUUCUCAAAAAAUAGUUUUUUUUUUUAGAGGAGAGAGAAAAUAUUGUUUAAUAGAUUGAACUAAUUUUGUAACAGAAAAUCCCUUUUAUAUAGUUGUAUCCAAACAAACUAGAUUAUUUGAUUAAAAAAAAUUAUUUUUAUUACGGUAAACAAACACAAUAGAUUCUUAUUAUUUAUAAAAUCUCUAAAUUAUUUUAUGUCAAAACCACUUAUAUUUUAAUCCGUAACAAACGGACCCAUUGUUAGAGGACUUUUUUUUGGACGAAGAAGUAAUAUAUAUGAAUGCACCAAGGGACAUUGUCAUAAAACGAGCAUCAAUGUUAGGUUUCUUGGAUCAGAUUUGUUUAUGUUUUUAUUUUUAUUUUUGUGUGUCUCAAUUUGUUCUUCCGAAUUAAUUUUGUAUAUUUUUUAAUUUAGGAGGAUGAUGCUCCAAUUGUCAUGGACGUGAAAGAUCAUAAGGGAGGUGUUUAUGAAGAAAUUUAUAGCCUUGUUAAAUCUACUCAACAGCUCAGGAUGCCAGAUGUGGGAACUCUCGUGAUAAAAAAAGAUGUCAAGGUAAUGGAAUUGAACAAACCCUCGGUCGCACUUCAAAAAAUGCAACAUCAUCCUUCGUCUUCGUCUUUUGCUGAUCUUACCGACUCGGAAAUAGUCAGCAGAUACCGUCUUCGUCUAUCUCGUCUUGGUCCAUUUGCUCGAAGGUCACCACCACCUGGUGAGUGAGUUUAACAUUUAUAUUAUUCUCAAUAUUGUUUGUUUGUUAAUGGAUAUGGUUGAAUGAAUUUAAUGGAAGAUGAUAAUGUGUUCCACUGUAGAGAAUUGGGGCUUAGGGAUUUUGAGAAAUUGAGCGUCUCUUUGAACAAACCCUAAUUUCUAUAACUAUCAUAAUUGCUUCUUCUUUCUUAUUCUUUCAGACGUACAUCAAAAAAUGCCUGCUGCUCCUCUGAAACCCCGCAGAAGAAGCGCAAUUCGUCAAUCUCUGUUACCAUGUGGUGAGUCUGUUCGUUACUCGUUAUGUUGAUUCACUAUUCAUUCCCUCCCUGCAAUUCAAUGGAUAUAUAUAUUCAUUCUGUUAGCAUAAGAAAGAAAUUAACUUGUUGGAAGAUGAUUAAUGACAUGAUAAUGUGUUCCAUUGUAGUUAAUUUAAUCGAUGAUUAAUUGUUCCUUUCUCUACUUUUCUAUCAGAUUUUAAUCAAAUCGAAAAUCGAAUCGAAAAUCAAAUCGAAAAGGAUAGGCUUAUCAAAUGUGUCACUUUGGCAAUACGGGAUUAUAAUUCACAAACUCGGAACGACUACCAAUUGGUCGUUAAUGAUGAGUUUAUUUCGCAAAUGGUUAAUUGUUUCCUUUACCGUAUCACAUUUCAAGCCAUGAAUGCUGACAAGGAAUAUGCAACUUUUGAAGCCCAUGUGUAUGGAUUUGGAAAAAGAGAUUAUGAUUAUUUGAAUCUCAGAAAGUUUUUUAGAAUCAGGAUGGAAGGGACCAGUACUUGGUAAUUUAUUUUAAUCUUAUCACCAGAUUGUUUGUCAUUUUUUCAAUAUGUUUCUUUGCAUCUGAAAUUAUUUCAUACAUAGCAGCAAUGCUUUCCACCCCCCUUUACCAUACCACAUGUUUAGCCUCAUUUUUUCGCAGCUUGUCAUUUGGGGUUUUAAUUUGCCACGUUUAGCGUGCGUCCUGUCCUGAAUAUGUUCAUGCUUGACAUUUUGAUAUUUCUGAACAGCAUGCCUGUGUCAUGCCCUGCCCCUCCCACUAAUUUGAUUACAUUGUAAUUUUAGCUUUGCUUUGCUUUUUACUCGGUUGUUUCCCUUUCGUUCCCAUUAAUUAUUUUAUGAUCUUUUUCAUCUGUUCCUAUGCAAUUUGGGUUUAUAUUUAAUAACAUUAUCAGCACAUUCUUCUUAUUCUUUUUGUAAAUUCGUUCUCAAAUUUCCCCUAUAAUGUGUUUGCAUAUAUUAAAAACGGAAAAGUUAACAUCCCCCCUAUCAUGGGGCUUUUAGCCAUAUUCCCUUUUUUCUCUUGAAAAACUAGACAAUCCUUGUCUAUAUAUAAAGAAAUAAAUUUAAUAAGUACAUAUUAGUCGUUUCGAUCAAAGUAUUUAUUUUACGGCCACAUAAUUUAUGCAUUUAACCAUUCCACCUAAACCUGUGCUCCACCUACCCCACCGGCCACUGAACAUUUUGGCGGCAAUAUUAGAGUUGCCGGAAUCUUAUAUCGUCGAUUUAUACUCCCCGCCUUUCUCUGUUUCAACUCUUAGCUUUUCUCUCCAUUCCACUCGUUGGUGGUAGUAGAAUUGCCUGUUUGUGUGGCCUUCCCCCCAUCUGCAAACAUUGGACCGUGUAAUUGUUGUAGGUAAGUUGUUGGUAAAUGAAUGGUGGGGCACGUCUGCGUGAACAAGGCUGGAGGAACCUUUGUCCGGAUAGGGGUUGCGGGGUGGUGGAGAUCCGCUGGACAGUGACUUUUGUCUCUUAUUAAUCUUUUCAGCAAUGGGUGAUGAACUGUACAGGCCUGAUGCUUGGGCUGUGAAUAUAUAAUUCUCUGUCUUAGAAGGAAUAUUAUGUAGUCUACCAUUUUGCACUCAGCUACUUUACAUUUCGUGUGAAUAUCAAUUGAGUUUUUUGUUCAACGAAAAAGGGGAUAAGGCUAGUCUGGAUGUUAGCUAACUCCUAACAAAAUAUCUAUUUGCUUUUCUUCUUUUCAUAAUUUUUUGUAUUUCCAGUUCUGUCAAUUCAGUCUUUAUAACCUUUACCUUGAUUCUUGGAGAGCCUUCUAUAUGAUUUAGCAGAUAUGCUCAUUUGGUUCUUGUUUACAUAAUUAUG